UUUCUCAAGGUCGGAAGAAAGCAAAGCUAGUCAGACUGACAAGAAGGACUAGCGUAUCCCGCAAGGGUCCCUAUACCUCCUAUUUCCCUGUAGAAGAGCCUUUGAAGCAGGGAUCGGACAUUCAGUUCAAGGUGGAGAACCUAUAGUUACGUUCAACACAGCAAACUACUUGUCUUUGGGGUUACCCUUCUGUCAUUAAAACAGAUUCAGAU
Molecule: long non-coding RNA, 212 nt
Filed under: Panax ginseng (ginseng)
Lineage: Eukaryota; Viridiplantae; Streptophyta; Magnoliopsida; Apiales; Araliaceae
Description: long non-coding RNA (PGIN_LNC014606)
Source: RNAcentral